GACAGAGGAGCCAAGCGUUGUCCGGAGUGACUGGGCGUAAAGCGCACGCAGGUGGUUCUGUGCGUGGGGUGUGAAAGCUCUCGGCUCAACUGAGAGAGGCCACCUCAUACGGCAGAGCUCGAGCCCUGCAGAGGUCCACGGAAUUGCCGGUGUAGUGGUGAAAUGCGUAGAGAUCGGCAGGAACACCCGUGGCGAAGGCGGUUCUCUGGGACGGUACUGACGCUGAGACGCGAAAGCGUGGGGAGCGAACAGG
RNAcentral lists this ribosomal RNA (253 nucleotides) under uncultured bacterium. Its description in RNAcentral is "partial 16S ribosomal RNA". It matches the Rfam family "Bacterial small subunit ribosomal RNA", at positions 524 to 776 of the family's 1533-position model. The record is from RNAcentral.